Molecule: long non-coding RNA, 1085 nt
Organism: Ailuropoda melanoleuca (giant panda)
Lineage: Eukaryota; Metazoa; Chordata; Mammalia; Carnivora; Ursidae
Exons: 4
Source: RefSeq, a predicted model, not a curated record
UAUCGCGAGACAUUCGUACCUGGGCUGGAGGCGAUUGAGUGCUGUCCUAGAGCCCAGAUCCUGGAGUUAGUCUGCUUAAGGUUAAAUCCUGGUGCUGUUCCUUACAAACCAAGUGCUCUUGGGAAUUUUUUUCAGGCCCUGUGGGGUCCCGAGAAUACCCACAGUGAUCCCUGAAGGCAGAGCGCUCGGUACACAAGAGCAUGUCUCUACUUCCCUUCACAUAUGAAUGACAGCUUGACCGAUAAAGGAUUCCCGAACAAACCCUUCCCGUCAGUGCUGUGAAGUAAUCACGCCGUCAUCUUCUGGCAAUGAUGCUGGCCUGGGGCAGAGGUUCCAGGAAGAACAUGGAGGUGGGUCAAGAUUGACCGAUGGGUUAAAGACUGGGGGGAAAAAAAGCAAAAUCUGAAAAGCAGCAUUGCAUGAUGGAGCCCAAGUCAGGAUCCAAGGACAAAAUCCAAACAGCAGCGGCAGCGUGAAGAAGGAAGUCAGAGACCUGGUAUAAAACACUGGGACAGAAAGCAAGGUUUCUGGAAAAAGAAACAACAUAGCAGCAGCCUGGAUCUGGCCUAGAAGCUGUCUGGUGUGACUUCUGCGCUGAACGAAGCAAAACCAGGAAGAGACAUCUUGGCAGUUCACCUGGUACUCAGUGAUUAACACGUUCCACACGUGAAGGCUGUGGGCAUCUUUCUAGUUUAUUAGGAGCCACAGCAAGAACCUGGAGGCUAUUCUAAUGCCACAUGCAGAAUGCGUGCACUGUAGCACCAUGGUCUGGACCACUCUUGAUCGUUAGAGGUCAUGGCACAAUGGGUAAGAGGAAAGAGAGGUUGAUCAAUUAAUGUGGUUUUAUGCUCUCCAGCUAUGAGCUCGCUGCAGAUGCUAUUAACUAUGACCCUGCAACUUAUACUCUGCUUUAAUGAGGAGGCGGUACCAGCUGAUGAACUAACCAUGAGGAACUCCCAGAAGAGACCACCCGCAGAGCAGCUGAAUUCAAGUCCCCAUAAUACAAACCAUCGCUUGUGGGAAAUGCUAAGUACUUAAGAGACGACUCAAAUUUACAAUGAUUUCAAAAUAAAUAAAAAUAAAGU